UGGCUCAGUUGGUAGAGCAUGGCGCUUGCAACACCAGGGCUGUGGGUUCAACUCCCAU
Molecule: non-coding RNA, 58 nt
Organism: Salmo salar (Atlantic salmon)
Lineage: Eukaryota; Metazoa; Chordata; Actinopteri; Salmoniformes; Salmonidae
Source: Rfam